UUAAGCGACUAAGCGUACACGGUGGAUGCCCUGGCAGUCAGAGGCGAUGAAGGACGUGCUAAUCUGCGAUAAGCGUCGGUAAGGUGAUAUGAACCGUUAUAACCGGCGAUUUCCGAAUGGGGAAACCCAGUGUGUUUCGACACACUAUCAUUAACUGAAUCCAUAGGUUAAUGAGGCGAACCGGGGGAACUGAAACAUCUAAGUACCCCGAGGAAAAGAAAUCAACCGAGAUUCCCCCAGUAGCGGCGAGCGAACGGGGAGGAGCCCAGAGCCUGAAUCAGUGUGUGUGUUAGUGGAAGCGUCUGGAAAGGCGCGCGAUACAGGGUGACAGCCCCGUACACAAAAAUGCACAUGCUGUGAGCUCGAUGAGUAGGGCGGGACACGUGGUAUCCUGUCUGAAUAUGGGGGGACCAUCCUCCAAGGCUAAAUACUCCUGACUGACCGAUAGUGAACCAGUACCGUGAGGGAAAGGCGAAAAGAACCCCGGCGAGGGGAGUGAAAAAGAACCUGAAACCGUGUACGUACAAGCAGUGGGAGCACGCUUAGGCGUGUGACUGCGUACCUUUUGUAUAAUGGGUCAGCGACUUAUAUUCUGUAGCAAGGUUAACCGAAUAGGGGAGCCGAAGGGAAACCGAGUCUUAACUGGGCGUUAAGUUGCAGGGUAUAGACCCGAAACCCGGUGAUCUAGCCAUGGGCAGGUUGAAGGUUGGGUAACACUAACUGGAGGACCGAACCGACUAAUGUUGAAAAAUUAGCGGAUGACUUGUGGCUGGGGGUGAAAGGCCAAUCAAACCGGGAGAUAGCUGGUUCUCCCCGAAAGCUAUUUAGGUAGCGCCUCGUGAAUUCAUCUCCGGGGGUAGAGCACUGUUUCGGCAAGGGGGUCAUCCCGACUUACCAACCCGAUGCAAACUGCGAAUACCGGAGAAUGUUAUCACGGGAGACACACGGCGGGUGCUAACGUCCGUCGUGAAGAGGGAAACAACCCAGACCGCCAGCUAAGGUCCCAAAGUCAUGGUUAAGUGGGAAACGAUGUGGGAAGGCCCAGACAGCCAGGAUGUUGGCUUAGAAGCAGCCAUCAUUUAAAGAAAGCGUAAUAGCUCACUGGUCGAGUCGGCCUGCGCGGAAGAUGUAACGGGGCUAAACCAUGCACCGAAGCUGCGGCAGCGACGCUUAUGCGUUGUUGGGUAGGGGAGCGUUCUGUAAGCCUGUGAAGGUGUACUGUGAGGUAUGCUGGAGGUAUCAGAAGUGCGAAUGCUGACAUAAGUAACGAUAAAGCGGGUGAAAAGCCCGCUCGCCGGAAGACCAAGGGUUCCUGUCCAACGUUAAUCGGGGCAGGGUGAGUCGACCCCUAAGGCGAGGCCGAAAGGCGUAGUCGAUGGGAAACAGGUUAAUAUUCCUGUACUUGGUGUUACUGCGAAGGGGGGACGGAGAAGGCUAUGUUGGCCGGGCGACGGUUGUCCCGGUUUAAGCGUGUAGGCUGGUUUUCCAGGCAAAUCCGGAAAAUCAAGGCUGAGGCGUGAUGACGAGGCACUACGGUGCUGAAGCAACAAAUGCCCUGCUUCCAGGAAAAGCCUCUAAGCAUCAGGUAACAUCAAAUCGUACCCCAAACCGACACAGGUGGUCAGGUAGAGAAUACCAAGGCGCUUGAGAGAACUCGGGUGAAGGAACUAGGCAAAAUGGUGCCGUAACUUCGGGAGAAGGCACGCUGAUAUGUAGGUGAGGUCCCUCGCGGAUGGAGCUGAAAUCAGUCGAAGAUACCAGCUGGCUGCAACUGUUUAUUAAAAACACAGCACUGUGCAAACACGAAAGUGGACGUAUACGGUGUGACGCCUGCCCGGUGCCGGAAGGUUAAUUGAUGGGGUUAGCGGUAACGCGAAGCUCUUGAUCGAAGCCCCGGUAAACGGCGGCCGUAACUAUAACGGUCCUAAGGUAGCGAAAUUCCUUGUCGGGUAAGUUCCGACCUGCACGAAUGGCGUAAUGAUGGCCAGGCUGUCUCCACCCGAGACUCAGUGAAAUUGAACUCGCUGUGAAGAUGCAGUGUACCCGCGGCAAGACGGAAAGACCCCGUGAACCUUUACUAUAGCUUGACACUGAACAUUGAGCCUUGAUGUGUAGGAUAGGUGGGAGGCUUUGAAGUGUGGACGCCAGUCUGCAUGGAGCCGACCUUGAAAUACCACCCUUUAAUGUUUGAUGUUCUAACGUUGACCCGUGAUCCGGGUUGCGGACAGUGUCUGGUGGGUAGUUUGACUGGGGCGGUCUCCUCCUAAAGAGUAACGGAGGAGCACGAAGGUUGGCUAAUCCUGGUCGGACAUCAGGAGGUUAGUGCAAUGGCAUAAGCCAGCUUGACUGCGAGCGUGACGGCGCGAGCAGGUGCGAAAGCAGGUCAUAGUGAUCCGGUGGUUCUGAAUGGAAGGGCCAUCGCUCAACGGAUAAAAGGUACUCCGGGGAUAACAGGCUGAUACCGCCCAAGAGUUCAUAUCGACGGCGGUGUUUGGCACCUCGAUGUCGGCUCAUCACAUCCUGGGGCUGAAGUAGGUCCCAAGGGUAUGGCUGUUCGCCAUUUAAAGUGGUACGCGAGCUGGGUUUAGAACGUCGUGAGACAGUUCGGUCCCUAUCUGCCGUGGGCGCUGGAGAACUGAGGGGGGCUGCUCCUAGUACGAGAGGACCGGAGUGGACGCAUCACUGGUGUUCGGGUUGUCAUGCCAAUGGCACUGCCCGGUAGCUAAAUGCGGAAGAGAUAAGUGCUGAAAGCAUCUAAGCACGAAACUUGCCCCGAGAUGAGUUCUCCCUGACUCCUUGAGAGUCCUGAAGGAACGUUGAAGACGACGACGUUGAUAGGCCGGGUGUGUAAGCGCAGCGAUGCGUUGAGCUAACCGGUACUAAUGAACCGUGAGGCUUAACCUU
Molecule: ribosomal RNA, 2904 nt
Filed under: Escherichia coli
Lineage: Bacteria; Pseudomonadati; Pseudomonadota; Gammaproteobacteria; Enterobacterales; Enterobacteriaceae
Description: bacterial LSU rRNA
Rfam family: Bacterial large subunit ribosomal RNA
Source: RNAcentral